This 1641-nucleotide ribosomal RNA is filed under the name Enterobacter sp. MGH 15. RNAcentral describes it as "bacterial LSU rRNA". It matches the Rfam family "Bacterial large subunit ribosomal RNA", at positions 1307 to 2925 of the family's 2925-position model. Lineage: Bacteria; Pseudomonadati; Pseudomonadota; Gammaproteobacteria; Enterobacterales; Enterobacteriaceae. The record is from RNAcentral.
UAACGAUAAAGCGGGUGAAAAGCCCGCUCGCCGGAAGACCAAGGGUUCCUGUCCAACGUUAAUCGGGGCAGGGUGAGUCGACCCCUAAGGCGAGGCCGAAAGGCGUAGUCGAUGGGAAACAGGUUAAUAUUCCUGUACUUGGUGUUACUGCGAAGGGGGGACGGAGAAGGCUAUGUCAGCCGGGCGACGGUUGUCCCGGUUUAAGCAUGUAGGCGGAGGUUCCAGGUAAAUCCGGUACCUUUUAACGCUGAGGUGUGAUGACGAGGCACUACGGUGCUGAAGUGAUAAAUGCCCUGCUUCCAGGAAAAGCCUCUAAGCAUCAGGUAACACGAAAUCGUACCCCAAACCGACACAGGUGGUCAGGUAGAGAAUACCAAGGCGCUUGAGAGAACUCGGGUGAAGGAACUAGGCAAAAUGGUGCCGUAACUUCGGGAGAAGGCACGCUGAUGUGUAGGUGAAGCCCCUGCGGGUGGAGCUGAAAUCAGUCGAAGAUACCAGCUGGCUGCAACUGUUUAUUAAAAACACAGCACUGUGCAAACACGAAAGUGGACGUAUACGGUGUGACGCCUGCCCGGUGCCGGAAGGUUAAUUGAUGGGGUUAGCGGCAACGCGAAGCUCUUGAUCGAAGCCCCGGUAAACGGCGGCCGUAACUAUAACGGUCCUAAGGUAGCGAAAUUCCUUGUCGGGUAAGUUCCGACCUGCACGAAUGGCGUAAUGAUGGCCAGGCUGUCUCCACCCGAGACUCAGUGAAAUUGAACUCGCUGUGAAGAUGCAGUGUACCCGCGGCAAGACGGAAAGACCCCGUGAACCUUUACUAUAGCUUGACACUGAACACUGGUCCUUGAUGUGUAGGAUAGGUGGGAGGCUUUGAAGCGUGGACGCCAGUCUGCGUGGAGCCAACCUUGAAAUACCACCCUUUAAUGGCUGGUGUUCUAACGUAGACCCGUAAUCCGGGUUGCGGACAGUGUCUGGUGGGUAGUUUGACUGGGGCGGUCUCCUCCCAAAGAGUAACGGAGGAGCACGAAGGUUGGCUAAUCCUGGUCGGACAUCAGGAGGUUAGUGCAAUGGCAUAAGCCAGCUUGACUGCGAGCGUGACGGCGCGAGCAGGUGCGAAAGCAGGUCAUAGUGAUCCGGUGGUUCUGAAUGGAAGGGCCAUCGCUCAACGGAUAAAAGGUACUCCGGGGAUAACAGGCUGAUACCGCCCAAGAGUUCAUAUCGACGGCGGUGUUUGGCACCUCGAUGUCGGCUCAUCACAUCCUGGGGCUGAAGUAGGUCCCAAGGGUAUGGCUGUUCGCCAUUUAAAGUGGUACGCGAGCUGGGUUUAGAACGUCGUGAGACAGUUCGGUCCCUAUCUGCCGUGGGCGCUGGAGAAUUGAGGGGGGCUGCUCCUAGUACGAGAGGACCGGAGUGGACGCAUCACUGGUGUUCGGGUUGUCAUGCCAAUGGCACUGCCCGGUAGCUAAAUGCGGAAGAGAUAAGUGCUGAAAGCAUCUAAGCACGAAACUUGCCCCGAGAUGAGUUCUCCCUGAGACUUUAAGUCUCCUGAAGGAACGUUAAAGACGAUGACGUUGAUAGGUCGGGUGUGUAAGCGCAGCGAUGCGUUGAGCUAACCGAUACUAAUGAACCGUGAGGCUUAACCUU